CGGCGGACGGGUGAGUAACACGUGGGUAACCUACCUAUAAGACAGGGACAACUUCGGGAAACCGGAGCUAAUACCGGAUAAGAUAUCGAACCGCAUGGUUCGAUAGUGAAAGAUGGUUUUGCUAUCACUUAUAGAUGGACCCGCGCCGUAUUAGCUAGUUGGUGAGGUAACGGCUCACCAAGGCAACGAUACGUAGCCGACCUGAGAGGGUGAUCGGCCACACUGGAACUGAGACACGGUCCAGACUCCUACGGGAGGCAGCAGAU
This 266-nucleotide ribosomal RNA is filed under the name uncultured Staphylococcus sp. RNAcentral's name for it is "partial 16S ribosomal RNA". It matches the Rfam family "Bacterial small subunit ribosomal RNA", at positions 96 to 354 of the family's 1533-position model. Lineage: Bacteria; Bacillati; Bacillota; Bacilli; Caryophanales; Staphylococcaceae. The record is from RNAcentral.